This 356-nucleotide unclassified non-coding RNA is filed under the name Hevea brasiliensis (rubber tree). The record is from RNAcentral. Lineage: Eukaryota; Viridiplantae; Streptophyta; Magnoliopsida; Malpighiales; Euphorbiaceae.
GCAUUCAACUGUCUUUCUAACUGCGUAACAAAAAGAGAAUAAGAGACCCAAUUUCAUCACCGAUGAUGACUAUUGAACUUAACUCAUGCACUUACAGGUUUGAUUAUCCCGAAUAUCUUACUAAAAUACAAACAGUUAAGAUGAUGCGUUUGUGGACUUGUACAAAUUCACCAUUUUUGUGCCAAAUCAACAAAUUUAAAAGGGAACAGACAUUGAACGGUUGAUUAAAAGGGAACUCAAUUUUUGCCGCAUUUUAUUAAUAGUUGAAGUUCAAUUAGAAAAAAUAAAAUAAAAUAAAAUGUGACAAUCUUAACCUUUAUUUUCCAUGAAGAGCAAUGCAGAGAAAGGGGACAACU